RNAcentral lists this transfer RNA (65 nucleotides) under Darthula hardwickii. RNAcentral's name for it is "tRNA-Ile". Lineage: Eukaryota; Metazoa; Arthropoda; Insecta; Hemiptera; Aetalionidae. The record is from RNAcentral.
AAUAAAAUGCCUGACAAUAGGAUCAUUUUGAUAGAAUGAAUAAUGUAAGUUAAAUACUUUUAUUG